AUAUAGGGUACCAGUAUUAGAGUUUACAUCAUAUUAAUACAUUUCUGAUUUACUGGUAUGUAAACUCUGCUUGCUUUUUCAGGGUAUGCGUGGCAUGUGGCUCUGGAGCAUAACAUUGUUUUCUUUCGCCUUGUUCCUAAGAGGGGAGGAACCACUCAGAUUAAAAGUGAGGCAUUUGAAAUUGCCAGCCAACUUUGCAGCUGAUUCUGGUGAAUUGCCAAAGAGAAUUGACAUAAAACUACCAUGGUCAAAAGCAGACCGAAAAGCAAAAGCUGGAUUAUUUAUUGGGUUUAUACUUCACAAAUUUAGUUAUUGCAACAUGGUGAACAUGGAAUAUAUUAUGGUGAAUACAUGUACAUGUAUGUGUUUUUUUCCUUACUCUCCAAAGGCAAAAUAUGUGAGCCAUAUUAACUAUAUUUUAGAACAUUAAUCAAUCCUGAAUUGUAAUAAAAAAAAGGCGCAGGACCACCAUUUAUUGCCAAGUUGAUUUACAACUAUAACCUAUUCCAAAAAAAUGUACUCCCUAACUUCUUUUCAACUUCCCAUGCUUACACUUUUAAAAUUUAGACUUCUCAAAACAGACUACAAUCUUUUAAUGGUACCAUCUUUAGCAGUCAUUAAUUCAACUGAGAAUAUUUUGCAAUCUUUUCAUUUCAGGGGUGACACUCACUCUUUGGGCUAACCCAUUGAACCCUGAGUUAUGUCCCGUAACCGCUCUUCUUGUGUGGUUGUUGAUAACAGGUUGGUGGAUUAUUUGUUAAGUUUAACCUUAUUCGCAGUAUUAAAAGUGGAACUAGAGUUCCUUUAACUGUGGUAAAUGAGCUCUUUUCUCUCUACGUUCUGAAGAUAUUUUGAGCAGCAUAUCUUGGCAUCUAUUUAAUUAAUAGCUCUUGAUUUUUUUUUGGGUCUCAAGCAGGUAUUAGGAAAGGUUUCAUUUUUUCCAAGGGUAGCUAAAAACAACCAUGCAGUUCAUGGGAACUCAGCUUGUGGUGUCACAACCUACAGGAAAACCUUUCUCCAGAUUUCCAAGACACUUUUUGAAAAGGAUUUUACUACUCAUAGCAUAAGAAGAUCAGCAGCCCAAUGGGCUGCCCGCUGUGGAGCUGAUGAUAGCACCAUCAAAAGGGCUGGCAGACAGUAUGUGAGACAGUAAUAUAUCAAACAUGAUAGACAGUGAAAUCAUCAAAAUCUAUGCUAAUUAGGACUGGGUAUCCAAACCUUCUUCAUAACUGUGAUUUUCUAUGUUUUAACUUGAUCAGGGUAGUACUAGUACAAUGAGACAGACAUCAGCAAAGUACUUUGUUCUUACAUGUGUAUAGUACAGGGGUAUUCCUGUGAUGUGUGAUGUAGCAGCUGAUUUUAGUUUCUGUGAAAUGCAAAUUUUAAGAAAUUUUUCUUUGUGAUCCAUGACCUGAAGGAUUUGUAUGACCUGGAAAAAGGAAAGUAUUUUAUCCACAAUUCUCUACUUUUAAUUAUCCGUUUGUGAACUGUGCCAGAGAACCCCUGUGUGACCGUCUUCUGAUCUUUUCUAAAGAAGAGCAAAAUAAUGUUGCUUGUAGGAUUGGCAAUAACUACAAAAAAAACAAACUUGCAAACUCAAGACAGUUUUGCCACCAACUGGGGGUUGAAGCACUCUUGAUAUCUUUGUGUUCAUUCUCAAUCCAUAAAUUGUUUUAAAAGGGGAAUUAUUCUUGUCACGUUUUUGUUGAAAAUGUGAAAACUUGUUAAUAAUUUAUAAAGGCUCUUUAAAGCACUUUAGAAUGAGAGUUAGCAAUGUAAAAAGUGAACGACGUUACCAUGACUCCAUGUCAUCAUUAUCAAGUUCGAAACACAUGAUGGAAUUGAGUAAAUAUAAAUAGUAAAAAUAGUGUGAUAAUAGUUGGGGAAUUAAAUGGGUGUUAAAGUAUUCAAUUGUAAUGUCAAGAGUUUGGCAUGACCUGAAUCUGACUGUGUGUUAAGUUUUGGUUUUAUGUUCCUAAUGAACAGCAUCUGUUAGAUCAAGCAGUCAAAUUUUGUGCAUCAUUUCUUUAACACUUUAAAUGUUGUAAGUAUUUUGAACUUGAUAAUGAUGACAUGGAGUCAUCGGAAUGUCAUUCACGUUUUACAUUGCUAAUUUUCAUUCUAAAUUAUUUCUUAACUUAUUUUGUAUUUGAUCAGGAAGUCCAAUAGUUUUGAGUUGUACACUCAAGAUGCUAGGGCUGAACUAAUCAAAGAACAGCAUGAUGGGACCCCAGCAUUGGACCACCAACUCUGGAUGUUUAAACCUCUUAGAUAAUAAAUUAGUAUAAUCCAGAGACCAUUCAUUCACAACUAAAUGUUCAUUGAAAGUGUUCAUUAUUUAUUGUUUUGGUUUUGAUUUCUGUAAUUUUACCUGAGUGCAUGUGCCUUGGGGGCACUCUAUCAAAAAUUCAACCUGCCUUGCAAUGCCAAUUGGAUUAUAAGUUUGCCUUACAGUCUGUCACUGGAUUAUACUAAUUAAGGUUAUAUUCCUUUUUGUCCAACACCAUUUGGUUGAACUGCGAAGAAAUAGAUAUCUCAAACUGAAGAACUAGCAAGAAAUUUCAAUGAUAGAUAAAUUUAAUACGUUUUGUAGGCAGGAAAUGAAAAAAGUCAUUUUCAUUUUUAGGACAUAGCUUGUUGACAUUAUUAACUCAAAUGUUUUGAUAUUUCAACCAAUGAAAUCAACUGUUUGGUCUUUGACAGUGAUGUAUCUCUGGAUGACAUUAGUGGCCAUUUGAUUCAGAAAACUUGUUUAGGAGUAAGUGGACAGAGGACAUAUCGGAAAAGUAAUUCAGGCUGUUGGAGUCUCAAAACACUUUUGUGGCAAUAAUGGAAUGUAACAGUCAAAGCUGUUUUAAGUAUGUUUUUGUCAUAAUGUACAGUUCUCAUGUUUUAUUAGUGCCUUAAGAAAUAGCAACAGAAAGAUUCCAUGAUUAAUUACCCAGGACAACUAUUACUAAUUUAAGGUGGCUCAAAACAGUUUCCAGCACUUUGUGAUGGAUCAUUUUUACCAAUCUUUAUCAACUGAUGCUACAAUCACAGUAACACAAAACUGCCCAUUCAUUGGUGAACAUGUUACAAUCAUUUUCAUGUAACAAUAGGUUACCAAGGUUGCCUAAAACCCUAUGUACAGUAUUUUUUAAAACUUUUACAAAAGCUGCAUCUUAUCCUGCUAUUCAAAAUUUGACAAUAUAAAAAUAUUUCACCACGCAGUUUUUGAAUUAUAUGCCCUUAAAGCUAAAAUUAAGGUUGCUUUUAGCAGGUUAUACAUUUGCAAUAGUAAUCUGUUGUGUCACGAAAAUAAUUACGUGUUUACCGAUGAUGAGGCAGUUUUUUGUUACCACGAUUGUAGCAUCAAUUGAUAAAAAACGGUUAUAAUGACCCAUCAAAAUUUAAGUCUUCGAAAGUGCUGGAAACUGUUUUGAGCCACCUUUAACUCUAAUUUCUUCUACAAAUGAUAUGUAUUCCUGUAGAGAAACCUAAAUCACAUUAAUUGAAAAACUUUUAAUUAUUGAGGUUGGAUGCUUUUGAAUUAAAUAAAAUCCUGAUAACUUUUAUCCAACAUAACAUUUUCUUACAAAUACUUUACCACUAGGCAGUUGAGAUCUUGAUGAAAAUUAAUAAGAAGCUAUAAUUGUAUAAUAUAUGAGUAUAAUUUAUGACCAUCACAUGUCAAUGUUUUGAGGGAUCAUACAAGAAAUUUAUUCUAUUUUAGACAAAAUUCAAGUGGUGUAUUUUUUUUUAACAAUCAAAUGUACAUAAUUCAGUGUAAAGUUAUAAAAUGAAUACCAAGAUCAGUAUAUCGAUAUUAUAGGGUUAAUGCUGUUGUUCCAGCACAUAUGCAAUAAAGUUUCAAUCUCUGGUUUUACAUCUGAACAUUUGCCGUGUUUUGCUAUUACAUUUAUUUCCUAAUACAGUCAAAGCUCUUCUUGCAGCCUUUCUUGUAAGUGGCCUUCUCUAGCAUUUGAAAAUGAUUGCUAAUCCCCUAAGCAGCCAACUUGUAAUUUGGGAAUCCCUUUUGUAUUCAAAAUUUAAAUUUUCUUGUAAACAGCAACGUUAAAAUUAGAGCGGUUUUCAAUU
Molecule: long non-coding RNA, 4080 nt
Filed under: Orbicella faveolata
Lineage: Eukaryota; Metazoa; Cnidaria; Anthozoa; Scleractinia; Merulinidae
Description: uncharacterized LOC110040473, transcript variant X2
Source: RNAcentral